CUUAUAUGUAAGGCGAAAAGAAAAUGGCGAUCAAACAGAAUUGGCAUCUUACAAGGAAAACUGCAACUUCCCCUAUAAAAGCUCUUUCAACCUCUGGCUCAUCAGAUCAUAGAGCUUUAUGAAACAGCAAAGUUCAUAUGUUCAUUUACCUGACAAGGAUAUGGUUCAGCAUCAGCUAACAAUAUGGUGCAGUUUUAAAAGAUUUGGUCACACCAUGGAUAGCGUGGAUAGGUCACACCGUAGAUAGGUCACACCAUGGAUAGGUCACGCAGUGGAUAGGGAUAAUAGGUCACAGGAUAGUGUUUGGCAUGAUAAAGAGAAAUGCAUUCUUAUCUCAA
This is a long non-coding RNA of Nematostella vectensis (starlet sea anemone), 338 nucleotides long. RefSeq lists it as uncharacterized. The record is from RefSeq and is a predicted model, not a curated record. The transcript is spliced from 3 exons. NCBI's taxonomy places the organism in Eukaryota, Metazoa, Cnidaria, Anthozoa, Actiniaria, Edwardsiidae.